AGUGAACGCUGGCGGUAGGCCUAACACAUGCAAGUCGAACGGCAGCACAGUAAGAGCUUGCUCUUACGGGUGGCGAGUGGCGGACGGGUGAGGAAUACAUCGGAAUCUACUUUUUCGUGGGGGAUAACGUAGGGAAACUUACGCUAAUACCGCAUACGACCUACGGGUGAAAGCAGGGGAUCUUCGGACCUUGCGCGAUUGAAUGAGCCGAUGUCGGAUUAGCUAGUUGGCGGGGUAAAGGCCCACCAAGGCGACGAUCCGUAGCUGGUCUGAGAGGAUGAUCGGCUACACUGGAACUGAGAGACGGUCCAGACUCCUACGGGAGGCAGCAGUGGGGAAUAUUGGACAAUGGGCGCAAGCCAGAUCCAGCCAUACCGCGUGGGUGAAGAAGGCCUUCGGGUUGUAAAGCCCUUUUGUUGGGAAAGAAAAGCAGCAGGUUAAUACCCCGCUGUUCUGACGGUACCCAAAGAAUAAGCACCGGCUAACUUCGUG
This 492-nucleotide ribosomal RNA is filed under the name uncultured bacterium. Its description in RNAcentral is "partial 16S ribosomal RNA". It matches the Rfam family "Bacterial small subunit ribosomal RNA", at positions 29 to 507 of the family's 1533-position model. The record is from RNAcentral.